RNAcentral lists this transfer RNA (69 nucleotides) under Rattus norvegicus (Norway rat). It matches the Rfam family "tRNA". From Rfam's summary of the family: Transfer RNA (tRNA) molecules are approximately 80 nucleotides in length. Their secondary structure includes four short double-helical elements and three loops (D, anti-codon, and T loops). The record is from Rfam by way of RNAcentral. Lineage: Eukaryota; Metazoa; Chordata; Mammalia; Rodentia; Muridae.
GGGGAUUUAGCUCAGUGGUAGAGCACUUGCCUAGCAAGCGCAAGGCCCUGGGUUCAAUCCCCAGCUCCA